AUCAUUUCUCGGCCUUUUGGCUAAGAUCAAGUGUAGUAUUUUGAUUUUAACACAACUUUUUAUUUAUUUAUUUUUGUACCUGGAAUGGAACAUAGGACGUUGCACUUGCCAGGCAGGUACGGCGCCAUUGA
Heterocephalus glaber (naked mole-rat) is the source of this 131-nucleotide small nuclear RNA. Its record names the gene U2. It matches the Rfam family "U2 spliceosomal RNA". From Rfam's summary of the family: U2 is a small nuclear RNA (snRNA) component of the spliceosome (involved in pre-mRNA splicing). Complementary binding between U2 snRNA (in an area lying towards the 5' end but 3' to hairpin I) and the branchpoint sequence (BPS) of the intron results the bulging out of an unpaired adenosine, on the BPS, which initiates a nucleophilic attack at the intronic 5' splice site, thus starting the first of two transesterification reactions that mediate splicing. Lineage: Eukaryota; Metazoa; Chordata; Mammalia; Rodentia; Bathyergidae. The record is from Ensembl.